RNAcentral lists this long non-coding RNA (2892 nucleotides) under Homo sapiens (human). Its description in RNAcentral is "HSALNT0284358". The record is from RNAcentral. Lineage: Eukaryota; Metazoa; Chordata; Mammalia; Primates; Hominidae.
CUUUAAUUAGGUACAAGUUAAAGUAUAAAUAUAGCAUUACAAUGGUGAAAAAUUUCUAGAAAUUUCAUAACAAAUGCAUAUAUGCUAGCUUCUUCCAACCUGGCCUGAACAUGUAAAAGUGUUACAUUAUCCUAAACAAUAAUUUCUCAGAUAAUUUUCAAAUAGGAUAACAAAUUUCUUCUGACUUAGUAUUUUUAAUUACAAAAUGGUCACUGAAGGAGGACAUUCAUUGUAAAGAAUAUAAAACAAUCUUUUAAUAUUGUAAUCCUUGCCACUUAAGUUAAAUAAAUCUUUGAUUCCUAAGACAUUAACACACAGAAAAUAAUUCCUACUUCACAUGGUAUAAAAGAAAAUAAUGAGUCAAACAAAGCAUUAUGACAGACUUGCUAUAAAAAAAAAUAGAAAUACUGGCCCCAAACCACUGUUUCUACUGAUACAUGGAAGAUACAAUUUGUAUUUUUAAGAGAUAAUGACGGCUCAGUGUUUUUACAAAUACACUGAAAGUAAAAGUUACCUUUAGUGCUAUAAUAACAAUAAAAUUAGGAAACACUUCAACAGUGAAGAAAAACACACAACAAAAUCCACUAUUCCCAGUGUAAAGUCAAUUUAUAAAAUAGCGUCAAGCAAUGAAUAACAAAACAGAGGAAAGAUAAAAGCAAUCUUGCAUUUUCUUCCCCCCCGCAAUAUUUUACACUCUACUAUUUAAAGUGAGUUUCUUUACAACAAAUGGUGCUUUAAAGGAAAGUAAUAUUUUUUUCCACUUUGUGUUUGAUAAAAUCUUACCACAUGUGGAAUUUUCAUUGAUUUCACAGGAAGGAAUAAGGAAUCCAAGCUCAAAAGAAGAGAUUAUUCUUGGAGAGAAAGAUCCCACAAUACAUUUCAUUUCUAUUGCCAAAGAAUUUUAAGAACUCAUUUGUCUGGGCAGAGUCUCUUCUCUCCAGGAUUGACUUAGGUGUGGUCUAAAUGUGCAGUUGACCUCUCAAGGUCAGUUCCAGAUUUAUGAGCUUGUAAAAUUCCUUAAAGCCAUUUCUAUUCCAGGCUCUCAUAUACUGAUUCUACUUUCCUUGACCAAGAUGAAAAAAGCCUUUGUUCAUGCUCAAUGGAAAGCAGAUCACUGAAUACUGUUUUUUUUUUCAGUGAAGUUGAACAAUUCAGAACUCUUUUGAUUAAUGCAGAAGUGCUAAGAGUAGUCCUCCCUAAUGUGUUGCUAUGAUAUUCAACCACGCCACAUGCUGCUGAAAGGUUCCUGUCUAAAUGCCAUAGGAUGGGUUGAAACGUGCUCACCCCAGGCAAUUAUUUCCAGAACAAUUAGUGCCUACUGCGAUUUCAAAAAAUACAGCUUUGCUUCUUUGUCCCUCUGAAUUGCACUGGUCUAAAGAAUAGGCUUCUAUAAUUUUAGCUUAUAGAGAUAGACUUGUUUACCUCUGCAAAUAUUUAGAAAGUGAGAGCUAUGUUUCAGGUGAAUACACAUCUACUCUAAUCAGAAAGAAACAUCAGAAUUCUAGCUUUUUUGUCCUAAAUUAUUACCAUUAUUGCAACUUGUUCUUUCAAAAUUUUGGUAGACAGAUGAAAAACUGCUGCCAUUCUUCUUGAUAAAAAUAUCAAUUGUGGCUCACUGAUACAAUCUACUCAUCUAUUUCCAGGAGAAGUAGUGUUGUUAUAGUAUAUAGCUAGUCUGGUAUGAGCAGGGAGGAAGAGGGCUCCGCUGAGCGCGCACACAUACACAUCAGGAGUGUCAGUCGACCAUCAGGUAAUGGACAGGCAGUUGUUAACUGUCUCUCCAAAGUAAUAAUUAGUCACAGCCAGCACCAGGGAAAUGCAGUCUCCUAGUAGAUAGAAAACACCUGAAACUCAUCAGCAGCUUCCCAGUAAGAUCGCAGAAGUCGGAAGAAGUGAUGCAAGAUCCUGGAAUUGUGUCAAAGUAUAAACCCCAAGUCAAAAGGUCAAAUAGCACAAUAUCUUUCAAGUUGUCCGCAUGGCCCUCGUCCGGGUACAUUUCCUUCCUUUCAUUCCUGCUCUAAAGCUUUGUAAUCAACUUUCACUCCUGCUUUAAAAUUUGCCUCUGUCUCCUUCUGCCUUAUGCCCCUCAGUUGAAUUUUUCUUCAGAGGAGGCAAGAAUUGAAGUUGCUGUAGACCGGUACAGUUUUUCCACCACUAACAUAUUUUGGUGGUGUGUGACUAGGACACCCUUCACUGCCAACAUACUUUGGUACCUUGUGACUUGUAUAACUUCCACCACUAACAUACUCUGAUGCUGCAUGACUCAGAUAUGUUCCCUAGUGGCAACAGACCUUCUUUGGCUGGAGAUGUUCAACCCCUGUAUGUGGUUUUCUUCUCCCUUUCUCUCUCCUGCUUACUAACCAGCCCCCAGAACAAGUCUUCUUGGCGAUAAGCAAUUCUGAUCCCCACAGCUGAUCUCUCAGCUCACCCUGAGGGGUGGCUCAUGGAGGUGGAAAGGAACUUGAAGUCCACACCAAGUAGAACUGAAGUACUAAUGGCCAUCCUGGACAGGAGGCUGAUGAGAGUGGUAGGGCUAAAGCCUAAAACUGUGCAACAUUUUGGGUUUUCUCGGCUUUUUCAACUAAAAUCAGCUCUUUCUCCCAAAUCCUGCACCAUUUAUUCUCCUGUUUUCUCUGUGUGUGUUCUGAAGUGGCUUUGAGCACCUGCCAGUUGGUCCACCUCAGGGGCAAGUCUACCUUUUCUCUGGUUUCACUUCGCAUGCCACCUGACUUUCUACUCUGCCUUAAAACACACACUCCCUGUUAUUCAUGCACCCAUGGCUCUUGCUGUGUUUGCUCAGCAGCAGAGAAGUGGGCUCCCUUUUGGAUGUCUGUUGGCCCAUUGCCAGGACACUAACUGGAACCCCAGCUCUGCCAGCUCCUUACGACUUAC